UUUGAAAGUUCACCCUUCUAAGCCAAGAACAAUACUUUCUCUUGCAUUUGUGGAGUCCCAUAUCCAGCCUUUUUUGAAGGAUGUUGGAAACUACAGAUUGAUUUGUUUCACCUUACUAGGAAGUGAACACUUCGCACAGGAAAGGGAGGGACUCCGUAGAGCAAGCCCGCUGUGAAGGUUGUACAGCCUUUACUCGUUUAAUGCCAAUACACGCUUAUAUUAAAUAACCGUAUUUAAACAAUAGGUUACGUUUCCGACAAUAGGCAACUGAGCAUGAGAAACAAUGUUUCAGUUUAAACAAAGUAUUUAAGUUAGCCUAGGUGUUACAAGAGCUAGCAAAAUAUAAUCAACGCACGACGAGUGUUCGUGAACUUUGUCUUCUUUCACCCCUCUUGCAAUGUCCACUACACUCUUAGCCAUGAACUGUAGGAAGGUGUUUCUAACGCUCGGCGGGGGACGCGGUGUGACAAACGCUGCGUUCGGAUCGCAUUUUGUUUCCGUCCCACGCCGUUCCAUAAUAGACCUCUCCUACUCCACCCACUUCAUGGAUUUUAAAGGUUCCUCGAUUCCUAGCUCCAUGAAAAAGCUGGUCGUGACGAAGCUCAGCCAAAAUUUCAGGGAAGCUGUUUCCUUGCAAAUUGUUCCAGUGCCGACUCCGGGCGAUGGGGACUUGCUUAUUAGAAAUCGAUUUGUUGGCAUCAAUGCGUCUGAUAUCAAUUACACAGCCGGUCGCUAUGACCCCUCAGUCAAGCCACCUUUUGACGCAGGGUUCGAGGGCAUCGGGGAGGUCGUCGGCCUGGGCCUGAGCGCCAGCGCCCGCUUCACGGUGGGCGACACCGUGGCCUACUUCGGCAGCGGGUCGUUCGCCGAGUACACGGUGGUGCCGGCCAAAGCGACCGUCCGCGUGCCGUCGGUCAAGCCGCAGUUCCUCACGCUCCUGGUGAGCGGCGCCACGGCCUACAUCGCCCUGAAGAGGCUGGGCGACCUGGCGGAGGGCCAGACCGUCCUGGUGACGGCGGCGGCGGGCGGCACCGGCCAGUUCGCCGUCCAGUUCGCCAAGAUGGCCAAGUGCCACGUGGUGGGCACGUGCUCCUCGGACGAGAAGUCCGGCUUCCUGAAGACCAUCGGCUGCGACCGGCCCAUCAACUACAGGAGCGAGGACCUGGCCGGGGUCCUGCAGCGGGAGUACCCGCGGGGGCUGGACGUCGUCUACGAGUCGGUCGGGGGCAGCGUCUUCGAUCUGGCCGUCAACCGCCUGGCCCAGAAGGGUCGGCUGAUCGUCAUCGGCUUCAUCUCGGGGUACCAGACGGCCUCCGGGGUCCAGCCGGUGAAGGCCGGGACGCUGCCCGUCAAGCUGCUGCAGAGGUCGGCCAGCGUGCGUGGCUUCUUCCUCCCGCACUUCCUGUCGGACUACGGGGAGGCCAUGGCGGACAUGCUGCGAAUGUGCGAGAGCGGGGAGCUGGUGUGCGAGGUGGACGUGGGGGAGAUGACUCCGGAAGGGCGCUUUGUGGGGCUGGAGUCGGUUUACCGGGCCGUUGACCAUAUGUACGCAGCAUCCAGUGUCUUUCUGCAUAGAUCCCUCAGUCUGGGAGUGGCUGGACGGAGCAAAGGAUGGAGUCACGGUUCGGGCGUCCACCAGGCAAAGAUGUAGAAGCCCCGGCUCCCCUUGAGUGAUGGGCAGUUCCCCCCCAACCUCUGCGCCGCUGGAGUCCAUCUCCUUCCCCUCGGCAGAUGCCAUCGCGGCCAAGGACACGGGGCGUCAGCGACCGUCCGGGAGACCCCGUUCAUCAGGGCGUAUCGAAUGUUUAUAUGACCUUGUUAAGGCAUUCAGACUGCUGCCAAAUAACUGAGAGUCCAAGUACUGAAGCUAGGAGUAGUGUGGUACUGUGACCGUGGAAAAGAGAUUGCCGUCCAAAUGUUUCAGGGCAGCAGCACUGUCUGUUACAGAGUCUGGACAGCAGGAAAAUGGAUCCUGGAAGGAAGUUUGAACUGCUGUUGUACCCUUCAGUAAGGAUGUGGGCGGGAGUGGACGAGACGGAAUUAAUUGAGCGGGAGUUUAGCCGUCUGACGUGAGACGUCGGGAGCUUUCUCGGCCCGGGACGGAGACAGGUGAUUGGGCAACAUACGGAGCGCUUGGAGGGAGCAAACCGUUUGGCAGAAGGUGAUUCCUGUCUGUUCACAUGCACUCUUGGGUGUAACACCAUCACUCUUGUUUUGGAAAGAGGUCAAUCUGUCACAAAAAAAGAAGGACAACUGGCACUCUGGGAAGGCUUCAAAGUCAGGCUGCUCCUGGUAAGAAUGAGACAAGAUGAGCCAUCAGUUAUAUGUGGAAUUUUCCCUUCUGUAAUUCCAACAAUCCUUUGCUGGAGUUGAAGACACAGUUUUGGCCUUUGUCUGUGUAUAAACUGAACCUGAGCCCCUUAGGCCUGUCGGUGAUUCAGUGUUAAACUACUGUACUAACAGGACUGGGGAACAUCCAUUUGUGAAUUUCAUCAUUGUUAAAAUUGAUAACUUCCACAAUGUAUGUUUAUGUCUGCUCCCGAAAAGACCAGUUGAGUGAUUCUAUGCUUGACCUGGCAUGAUUGCCAAGACAUGAAAGACCUUGAUACCAUGAUGGUUGAAAAUUGUAAAGUUACAGUAUAUUUUGUUUAUGUGCAAUUACUGUUCAGCUCAGGCUCUGUCGAUGAUUUUGUGGAUGUUUGUCUCUGUGUUUGCAGCCUUUAUUGGCUAACUUUAGCCUACCAGAUAACUGCUGUCGCAUUUCCUGCAAAUAACAUAGAACUAACACAAGGAUCACACCCUACAAGUGUGAAGCAGCAAUUCUACAGUAAGCUCCUGACCCCCGAUUCCCUCCUUAGGAAAAAUAGACACAAGGGUAUAAUUAUUCUGUCUGUGUAAGGUGCACUUAGCAGAUGGUACACUGUUUCAUUCACAAACUCCCACUCACCCUAUACUGCUGCCAGGCAAAGAUACUCUGAACACUGAGCAAGAUAUGCUACACAAUCCACACAGAAAACAGACCAUAGGCUAUGCAAUCCACACAGAUGACAGACCAUGUACAAUAUAUUUACACCAGCCAUUUCUAAAAAAACAAAAACAAAAACAAAAAAAAAUAGGAGUAAUUGGCCUUUUGAUCGAUAUUCUCUGCAGCAUUUGUAACAAAAAUUUUAAAAAUAUUGAGUUAUGUUUUUAGGGCAGUGUUUGAGUCGUGUCUGUGAUCUCCUCACUGUGCAUUUGAAUGACCUUUGAGGAGAAGGAAAGCACUCUUGGACUUCUCAGCUGUUGCUAUGUAAAUGAUUGUGGCGGCGGUAUCUGUGGUUACCCAGAUUGCCUACAUUGCCUACGUUUUAAAAUUAGCUUUAGUGUCUACUAUUGAAAGAAAGAAAAAGAAAGCUGAAUGUUUUUCAAGGAGAGCGUGCAUUUUGUGGGGCUGAUAUGAAAUAAUGUAGAACACUGACUGCACACAUAACUUCGGCAAUAACAUUGUUCCCAAAUUAAGGAUGGAAAGUUGAGUGCAUGCUGGUGCUCUGCUCACGACCCUUAUUUCAUAGGUGUGAAAAAGUGGAGCCAUCUACCUUGCUUCAGGUGAUAAUUGGUUUCCGAUGUUCCAUUUGCCUAGUGCAAUUUAUCUCUCCCUUCUUAGUCUCUCUCUCUCUCUGUCUCUCUCUCUCCCUUCCUCUCACUCUUUCUCCAUUUUCUCGUAAGGUUAAUUUUCUAUUCCCUUUGCUUCUAAUUAAAAAAGUAAGUGAGUAUUCAUUUGUCAUAUCUACAGUGAUGAAACACACAUUAUCUCUCAAGUUUUUUUACACCUUUAAUUAUUUUCAUGUAUUCUAGUCUUUAGCUCUGAUGGGAUAAAAUUUUACCAUAUUGUAAUGAACCUCUAAACGACAGCACCUGUAUGGACUUCGCCAAAUAUAGGGUAAUGCAUAUCUUUUGUGAUAUUUAACAAAUUAUAAAACAUUUUGCCUUUAUUAGGACUGAAUAAUAAUUUGCCUCAAUACAUACGUUCACUUCCUGAAACUGAGAGAUCAGACCAUUGUCAGUCUCAAUCUAGAAUAUAAGUGGACAUACCAAGGAAUUAUGCUAAAUUAAUAUAUACAAACCUCUUAAGAAAGCAGGUAAAAUGUGACACAAUGGAUUAACUAUUGUUGCUUUCAUCUAUGCUUUAAAUGCCUUGAAGUAUAUAAAUAAAAUGACAUAUAUAAAUCAGGUAUUGUGUGGUAUCAUAUACAUAUAUGGGGACAGAAAGAGUAUGUUUCAACAUAUUAACACACGAUUCAUGAUAAGACUUGAUAAAUGCUUUUUUUAUUCAGAACAGAUAGAUCAUUCUGUUUCUGUUCCUGCGGAAAUCGCGGCAAUUUUCCCUAGAAACAAAGGCAGGACUGUGUCAAAAAAAAGAAUUAUAUUUUGAUUCAAACGA
This is an RNA transcript of Anguilla anguilla (European eel), 4420 nucleotides long. It is a transcript of the gene named prostaglandin reductase 3-like, with no coding region annotated. The record is from RefSeq and is a predicted model, not a curated record. NCBI's taxonomy places the organism in Eukaryota, Metazoa, Chordata, Actinopteri, Anguilliformes, Anguillidae. The transcript has 8 exons.